RNAcentral lists this ribosomal RNA (445 nucleotides) under uncultured bacterium. Its description in RNAcentral is "bacterial SSU rRNA". It matches the Rfam family "Bacterial small subunit ribosomal RNA", at positions 958 to 1398 of the family's 1533-position model. The record is from RNAcentral.
AACGCGAAGAACCUUACCCAGGCUUGACAUCUAGAGGAAGACUGCAGAGAUGCAGUUGCCGGGGCAACCCGGCCUUUAGACAGGUGCUGCAUGGUUGUCGUCAGCUCGUGCCGUGAGGUGUUAGGUUAAGUCCUGCAACGAGCGCAACCCUCAUCCUUAGUUGCCAGCGGGUUAUGCCGGGCACUCUAUGGAAACUGCCGCUGAUAAGGCGGAGGAAGGUGGGGAUGACGUCAAAUCAGCAUGGCCCUUACGUCUGGGGCUACACACGUGCUACAAUGGGGGGUACAACGGGACGCGAAGGAGCAAUCUGGAGCAAAUCCCAAAAAACCCUCCUCAGUUCGGAUCGUAGGCUGCAACCCGCCUACGUGAAGUCGGAAUCGCUAGUAACCGUAGAUCAGCAGUGCUGCGGUGAAUACGUUCCCGGGCCUUGUACACACCGCUCGUC